This is a non-coding RNA of Macaca mulatta (Rhesus monkey), 368 nucleotides long. The record is from RefSeq and is a predicted model, not a curated record. NCBI's taxonomy places the organism in Eukaryota, Metazoa, Chordata, Mammalia, Primates, Cercopithecidae.
UUCAUGCAGCACCUACUAUGUGCCAGAUGUUGUUCUGGGGGUACCACAAGGAAUGAAAAAGAAUAAGUCCACGUGCUUUUGAAUUUGAAAUCUGUAGCAACUGGAGGUAUCUGCUGUGAAGCUAAUGAAGAUCACGGCACAACAGACCCACAGGAAGAACAAGUUAAGAUAAUGACUUUUCACCGAAGUACAAGUUAGCAUCACCUGGAAGACUUUACAAAGCAUGGUUGGCUGAGAGUCUGUGGGAGCAGAAGAGGAAACUGAGGCUUUAGGGAACUGUGGCACAUUGGCAAGGACACCCAGCUCAUCAACAGUGGUUCCUCACAGACACGGCUCAAUUUGCCUUCCCUGGAGCAGGAGGAAGGGUG